GUGCGGGUGGUAUCACCGCGUUCUGGCAUGGAUUCUGACUUAGAGGCGUUCAGCCAUUAUCCAGCAGAUGGUAGCUUCGCGGCACUGCCCGGUCGGACAGCCGCAAAAACCAAUUAUCUGAAUCAGCGGUUCCUCUCUUAG
This 141-nucleotide ribosomal RNA is filed under the name Fusarium pseudograminearum CS3487. RNAcentral's name for it is "LSU ribosomal RNA Magnaporthe grisea". Lineage: Eukaryota; Fungi; Ascomycota; Sordariomycetes; Hypocreales; Nectriaceae. The record is from RNAcentral.